Molecule: long non-coding RNA, 1358 nt
Filed under: Homo sapiens (human)
Lineage: Eukaryota; Metazoa; Chordata; Mammalia; Primates; Hominidae
Description: HSALNT0349012
Source: RNAcentral
CUAGAAUGAUAGGAACUUUGUAAAGGAAGAGCAGCCCAGCUUCAGAUGAGAUUGGAGGGGUGGGCAAAUGGGCAUGUUUUUAACACGUAAAAAAGCUUGGUUUUAUCCCAAGAAUGAUGAGCAGUCUGUAAAGGGCUUAAUUACGGCAGGAAACACCAUAUUAUUAGUGUUUUAAGAAGGUGACACUGGCUAUUUGUUUAGGUGGCAUUUGUAUUGUAGUGGGUAACAGUGAAUGUGGAUUGCUUGGUUUACAGAACUGAAAGGCUUGGCCACUCAAAGACAGGGUCUCUCUGUUGUCCAGGCUACAGUGCAGUGGUGCAAUCAUAGCUCACUGCAGCCUCGAUCUCCUGGGCUCAAAUGAUCCUCCCAUCUCAGCCUCCGAAGUAGCUGGAACUACAGGCCAUCUCAAAGACCCUAUCUAUGAGGAAGAAGAAAAGAAGUAGAAAGAGGAAGAGAAGAAGGAAAAAAAAUAAAGAAUAGGGAAGAGGAAGAAAAAGACAAAGAGACUCAAGCCCUAUCCUAAGUUUGUUUUGUUUUAUUUUCAAAGCAAUAUGUGAUAGCAGGUCUCAGAGUUAGGAGGAAGUGCCGUAUAAUGGAAAGAACACAGGCUAAGAAGCAAAGUUUAAUUUAUAUCUUAUUUGCUUUAUGACCUUCAGGAAGUAAUUUAACCUCUCUAAUUCUCAUUUUCCUCAUUUCCAAAAUGAAACAACUAAAAUUUACUUUUCAAAACUAUUGUAAAUAUUGAAGAUGAGGUCUAUAAAGAAGCUGGUGAUAAUUGUUUAAACAGGCUCUUAUAAUCAAAACAAGGUAAUUCCUUGGUACUUAUUAUAACAGAACCUGAUUCACAUAAUCUCUCUCUCUCUCUCUCUCUCACACACGCACACACACACACACACACUUUAACUUUUAGCAUGCAUAAAAAAUUAGAAGAUAUAGGUAAAUAAAAUUUGACUUCAGUAGGCUUUUGCUAUUUCAUGAUUUCUCUCCAAUCCAGUAUCACUUUAACUUGUGGAUAUAUAAAAAAACAAAAGAAAAAAAAAAUCAGUGGGACUCCUGUCUGCUCUUCCACUAAUUGAUUUAAAUGAAAACUGACUUUAUUGGUUGAUAAUCAAUAUGGAGUUGAGAAGGCAGUACCCCAGGGUUUAGGAUUUGAGCAAUAUCAUUUUUGUGAUUUGCCUUUGGCCUUCUUUUAUGUUACUGAAACACGACUGUUUAAAAUAAAUCUUUGUGAAUUGAAGAAGCAUUUUAUUUCUUAUCCUGAAUAAAAAAAAAUAUUACUGUAAUAGACCCCAUGGCUUUCUCCUAGACAUAUAAAAAAGUUUGAAUUUAAGACAUAAAGUGGUUCAAGUGGUUUUCUA